This 250-nucleotide ribosomal RNA is filed under the name uncultured bacterium. RNAcentral's name for it is "partial 16S ribosomal RNA". It matches the Rfam family "Bacterial small subunit ribosomal RNA", at positions 524 to 773 of the family's 1533-position model. The record is from RNAcentral.
UACGUAGGGUGCGAGCGUUAAUCGGAAUUACUGGGCGUAAAGCGUGCGCAGGCGGUUAUGUAAGACAGAUGUGAAAUCCCCGGGCUCAACCUGGGACCUGCAUUUGUGACUGCAUAGCUAGAGUACGGUAGAGGGGGAUGGAAUUCCGCGUGUAGCAGUGAAAUGCGUAGAUAUGCGGGGGAACACCGAUGGCGAAGGCAAUCCCCUGGACCUGUACUGACGCUCAUGCACGAAAGCCAGGGGAGCGAAC